This 253-nucleotide ribosomal RNA is filed under the name uncultured bacterium. Its description in RNAcentral is "partial 16S ribosomal RNA". It matches the Rfam family "Bacterial small subunit ribosomal RNA", at positions 524 to 776 of the family's 1533-position model. The record is from RNAcentral.
UACGGAGGGAGCUAGCGUUGUUCGGAAUUACUGGGCGUAAAGCGCGCGUAGGCGGCUUUGUAAGUUAGAGGUGAAAGCCCGGAGCUCAACUCCGGAACUGCCUUUAAAACUGCAUCGCUUGAAUCCAGGAGAGGUGAGUGGAAUUCCGAGUGUAGAGGUGAAAUUCGUAGAUAUUCGGAGGAACACCAGAAGCGAAGGCGGCUCACUGGCCCGAUACUGACGCUGAGGCGCGAAAGCGUGGGGAGCAAACAGG